Molecule: long non-coding RNA, 836 nt
Organism: Cydia strobilella
Lineage: Eukaryota; Metazoa; Arthropoda; Insecta; Lepidoptera; Tortricidae
Exons: 3
Source: RefSeq, a predicted model, not a curated record
UCUAAAAUAACAGCGGUAAUAGGUUUCAUUCAAUAUAAUACAUUUCAUUCUAUAAUUUAAAAUGAAUACGAGAAUGUUCUUGAUCGUUCUGUUUUCAAUACUUCUGGGGGUAUUAGGGGAGACCGAGCUGAAUCGAAACAAAGACAAUGCAGUCGCAGUUGGCAUACCGACUGAGUGUCUAGUUAAGGCGGCUACAAGUUUUGGGACCUGCCUCAUGUCUGAACAACAGCUGGACAGCUCUGGACCUGCACUUGAGAGCAAAAUAUUCUCUUGUAUUGGAAGCUUCGCGUGUGAUUUGAUUCAUUGUUUUACAGGCUAGCGACUUGCGGUUCACCUUCAAUUUCAAAAGGACUAAGUUUUCAAAGCACCGAAAUUUUACAACAAUGUCUAAUUAAAAACAAAAUAUAAUUAUGUCAAUUAUUUUUAAAAUACUGGGUCAAUGUGGAUAAGACCGGCAUAUAACAUUUAUUACAGGGAAGGCCGUUUAUCUGUAUGUACCUACAUCGCUCAGACGCAGUCAGAAAGAAAAGCUUCACUUCACUCACUCAUUCUGCUCUAGACCUGUAAGUAGAGUAUCUAUACAAACAAACGCAAGAGUUAAAAGCGACGAAAGAAUUGUAGACGGUCUUCUCCACAUUGACCUUCAGAUACUUAGUCAUGAGAGGAUUAUCCAUAAUUAGUAGGUAUAUCAAGUCAUCCGAUUUUUACCGAUCAUUGAACAUUUGGCCGCUCACUGAAUUAGGUAUAGGUACAAGCAAAUUAAUGCCAAACCCACUGCCCGAAGCCAACGAGACGUAAAAAAUUUUUACCAGCGUAUGUUAAAAAAUUAAACGCUU